AUUUUUGGAUGUAUUAGGUGCGCU
RNAcentral lists this non-coding RNA (24 nucleotides) under Arabidopsis thaliana (thale cress). Lineage: Eukaryota; Viridiplantae; Streptophyta; Magnoliopsida; Brassicales; Brassicaceae. The record is from RNAcentral.